GGGGAUUUAGCUCAGUGGUAGAGUGCUUGCCUAGCAAGUGCAAGCAAGGCCCUGGGUUCAGUCCCCA
This 67-nucleotide transfer RNA is filed under the name Rattus norvegicus (Norway rat). It matches the Rfam family "tRNA". From Rfam's summary of the family: Transfer RNA (tRNA) molecules are approximately 80 nucleotides in length. Their secondary structure includes four short double-helical elements and three loops (D, anti-codon, and T loops). Further hydrogen bonds mediate the characteristic L-shaped molecular structure. tRNAs have two regions of fundamental functional importance: the anti-codon, which is responsible for specific mRNA codon recognition, and the 3' end, to which the tRNAs corresponding amino acid is attached (by aminoacyl-tRNA synthetases). tRNAs cope with the degeneracy of the genetic code in two manners: having more than one tRNA (with a specific anti-codon) for a particular amino acid; and 'wobble' base-pairing, i.e. permitting non-standard base-pairing at the 3rd anti-codon position. The record is from Rfam by way of RNAcentral. Lineage: Eukaryota; Metazoa; Chordata; Mammalia; Rodentia; Muridae.